CCUACGGGUGGCAGCAGUGAGGAAUAUUGGUCAAUGGCCGCAAGGCUGAACCAGCCAAGUCGCGUGAGUGACGACUGCCCUCUGGGUUGUAAACUUCUUUUAUGAGGGAAGAAUAAAUGCUACGUGUAGCAUGAUGCCUGUACCUUAUGAAUCAGCAUCGGCUAACUCCGUGCCAGCAGCAGCGGUACUACGGAGGAUGCGCGCGUUAUCGGUAUUUAUUUGGUUUAAAGGGUGCGUAGGCGGUUUUUUAAGUUAGUGGUUAAACGUCGGGGCUAGACCUUGAAUUGCCAUUAAUACUGUAAGACUCGAGUUCAGACGAGGUAGGCGGAAGAAGUUAAGUAGCGGUGAAAUGCUUAGAUAUAACGUAGAACUCCGAUAGCGAAGGCAGCUUACCAGACUGCGACUGACGCUGAGGAGCGAAAGCGUGGGUAGCAAACAGGAUUAGAUACCCUUGUAGUC
Molecule: ribosomal RNA, 459 nt
Filed under: uncultured bacterium
Lineage: Bacteria
Description: partial 16S ribosomal RNA
Rfam family: Bacterial small subunit ribosomal RNA
Source: RNAcentral